Non-coding RNA from Allochromatium vinosum DSM 180, 358 nucleotides. It matches the Rfam family "transfer-messenger RNA". From Rfam's summary of the family: Bacterial tmRNA, also known as 10Sa RNA or SsrA, is named for its dual tRNA and mRNA-like properties. Its role is to liberate the mRNA from a stalled ribosome. To accomplish this part of the tmRNA is used as a reading frame that ends in a translation stop signal. Lineage: Bacteria; Pseudomonadati; Pseudomonadota; Gammaproteobacteria; Chromatiales; Chromatiaceae. The record is from Rfam.
GGGGGCGACAUGGCUUCGACGUGGGUCGCAAAACCUGAGGUGCAUGCCGAGGUGCGGGAAACCUCGUAAAACCAUCCGCAAACCAAUAGUUGCCAACGACGACAACUACGCUCUCGCUGCUUAAUCCCAGCGGGCCUCAGACCGCUGCCUGCCUAUGGACGGCGGAUUCCUGGGGUAAAAACACAUAGGAUCGCGGUGACGGGCGUCCGGACCUGAUCUGCUAAAACCUAACGGAAUCGCCGACUGAUCGCCCUGCCCCUUGGGCGGCGGGAGGCUAAAAACAAUAAAGCGGGCUAAGCAUGUAGGACCAAUGGCAGAGGGCUUGCGGACGCGGGUUCGAUUCCCGCCGCCUCCACCA